This 201-nucleotide long non-coding RNA is filed under the name Mytilus galloprovincialis (Mediterranean mussel). The record is from RNAcentral. Lineage: Eukaryota; Metazoa; Mollusca; Bivalvia; Mytilida; Mytilidae.
GUGAACGGACGUACAUUUUGUCGUAUGGAAAAAUACACUCUGUUUAUAUGUUAUUGCUCGGAUUUCCAAGCUAGAUAAAGGAUUAAUGUGAUUCUGACUUGUAACAGCAGUAAGUCUUUUUCAUUAUAUUGCAAAAUUUCGUCGUAAAGUAACUUUUGUAGACAUGUUAAGAUCAUCGUGUAAGAAGAGGUCCUAAAGGGG